This 870-nucleotide ribosomal RNA is filed under the name Burkholderia pseudomallei. RNAcentral's name for it is "bacterial SSU rRNA". It matches the Rfam family "Bacterial small subunit ribosomal RNA", at positions 56 to 916 of the family's 1533-position model. The record is from RNAcentral. Lineage: Bacteria; Pseudomonadati; Pseudomonadota; Betaproteobacteria; Burkholderiales; Burkholderiaceae.
UGCAGUCGACGGCAGCACGGGCUUCGGCCUGGUGGCGAGUGGCGAACGGGUGAGUAAUACAUCGGAACAUGUCCUGUAGUGGGGGAUAGCCCGGCGAAAGCCGGAUUAAUACCGCAUACGAUCUGAGGAUGAAAGCGGGGGACCUUCGGGCCUCGCGCUAUAGGGUUGGCCGAUGGCUGAUUAGCUAGUUGGUGGGGUAAAGGCCUACCAAGGCGACGAUCAGUAGCUGGUCUGAGAGGACGACCAGCCACACUGGGACUGAGACACGGCCCAGACUCCUACGGGAGGCAGCAGUGGGGAAUUUUGGACAAUGGGCGCAAGCCUGAUCCAGCAAUGCCGCGUGUGUGAAGAAGGCCUUCGGGUUGUAAAGCACUUUUGUCCGGAAAGAAAUCAUUCUGGCUAAUACCCGGAGUGGAUGACGGUACCGGAAGAAUAAGCACCGGCUAACUACGUGCCAGCAGCCGCGGUAAUACGUAGGGUGCGAGCGUUAAUCGGAAUUACUGGGCGUAAAGCGUGCGCAGGCGGUUUGCUAAGACCGAUGUGAAAUCCCCGGGCUCAACCUGGGAACUGCAUUGGUGACUGGCAGGCUAGAGUAUGGCAGAGGGGGGUAGAAUUCCACGUGUAGCAGUGAAAUGCGUAGAGAUGUGGAGGAAUACCGAUGGCGAAGGCAGCCCCCUGGGCCAAUACUGACGCUCAUGCACGAAAGCGUGGGGGAGCAAACAGGAUUAGAUACCCUGGUAGUCCACGCCCUAAACGAUGUCAACUAGUUGUUGGGGGAUUCAUUUUCCUUAGUAACGUAGCUAACGCGGUGAAGUUGACCGCCUGGGGGGAGUACGGUUCGCAAGAUUAAAUACUUCAAGAGAGAGAAGA